AGUCGAACGGCAGCACGGACUUCGGUCUGGUGGCGAGUGGCGAACGGGUGAGUAAUAUAUCGGAACGUGCCCAGUCGUGGGGGAUAACGUAGUGAGAAUUACGCUAAUACCGCAUACGAUCUAAGGAUGAAAGCGGGGGAUCGCAAGACCUCGCGCGACUGGAGCGGCCGAUAUCAGAUUAGGUAGUUGGUAGGGUAAAGGCCUACCAAGCCAACGAUCUGUAGCUGGUCUGAGAGGACGACCAGCCACACUGGAACUGAGACACGGUCCAGACUCCUACGGGAGGCAGCAGUGGGGAAUUUUGGACAAUGGGCGAAAGCCUGAUCCAGCCAUUCCGCGUGCAGGAUGAAGGCCCUCGGGUUGUAAACUGCUUUUGUACAGAACGAAAAGGUUUCUACUAAUACUAGGAGCUCAUGACGGUACUGUAAGAAUAAGCACCGGCUAACUACGUGCCAGCAGCCGCGGUAAUACGUAGGGUGCAAGCGUUAAUCGGAAUUACUGGGCGUAAAGCGUGCGCANGCGGUUAUAUAANUCAGAUGUGAAAAUCCCCGGGNUCAACCUGGGAACUGCAUUUGAGANNG
This 581-nucleotide ribosomal RNA is filed under the name uncultured bacterium. RNAcentral's name for it is "bacterial SSU rRNA". It matches the Rfam family "Bacterial small subunit ribosomal RNA", at positions 60 to 635 of the family's 1533-position model. The record is from RNAcentral.